UACGGGAGGCAGCAGUAGGGAAUAUUGGUCAAUGGGNNAGAGCCUGAACCAGCCAUGCCGCGUGAAGGAAGAAGGCGUUNUGNGUUGUAAACUUNUUUUAUACAGGAAGAAAAGACCCAUGCGUGGGNCAUNGACGGUACNGUAUGAAUAAGCGCCGACUAACUCCGUGCCAGCAGCNUCGGUAAUACGGAGGGUGCAAGUGUUGUCCGGAUUUAUUGGGUUUAAAGGGUGGGUAGGCGGAUGAUUAAGUCAGUGGUGAAAGCCCNUCACUCAACUGUGGNAGUGCCAUUGAUACUGGUUAUCUUGAGUAUGGAUNAGNCAGAAUGAAUUUNUGAUGUAGCGAUGAAAUGCAUAGAUAUGGUAAAGAACACGGAUAGGGAAGUCAGCUGGCUAAACUAUAACUGACGGUGAGGCAAGAAAGCGUGGGGAGCGGACUGGAUUACAUNCCUUGGUAGUCCAUUCAGUAAAGGAUGAUUGCUNGNGUGNCGAUACACAGUCAGUGUCCAAGCGAAAG
Molecule: ribosomal RNA, 514 nt
Filed under: uncultured Bacteroidota bacterium
Lineage: Bacteria; Pseudomonadati; Bacteroidota
Description: uncultured Bacteroidetes bacterium partial 16S ribosomal RNA
Rfam family: Bacterial small subunit ribosomal RNA
Source: RNAcentral